This 478-nucleotide long non-coding RNA is filed under the name Oryza sativa Indica Group (long-grained rice). RNAcentral's name for it is "lncRNA OsZS97_11G004950". Lineage: Eukaryota; Viridiplantae; Streptophyta; Magnoliopsida; Poales; Poaceae. The record is from RNAcentral.
AUGGCGGAGGACGGCGUGCCGUUGGCCGAGUCCGAGUGGCUGCGUCGGUGGUGGCGGCGGGACUCUGGCCCGCUCGAACACCGGCCGGCUGCACUGGAACUCUAUGCAAAAACUCUUACCUGCCCUUCAAAAUCUGACGAGAGUAAAGGUUGGAGAUGGGCAGAUGGCUCGAGGACUUCUUUCUGGCAUGACCGUUGGCUAGGUAUUCAGCAACUUGCAAACCUAUUCCCGGCACUCUACUCGCACUCAACAAGCGGCCAUGCAACUGUCAAUGAAGUGCUUAGCAGGGGAAUCUUAUCGCAUGAUGUGGUUUUCAGAGGGCUUCAACCUUCUUUAGCUGCUUCCCUUUAUCGUGCUGUUAGCGAAGCAGGUCUUUGGGCAGAAUUGCUAGUGGUGCAGGAUAGAACUGUAAUAGAUGUGUGGAAACAAAUUUUCUCCUCCUGUCUUCAAUCUCUCAAUCUAGUGUAACAGAACUAUA